UGAGGAAUAUUGCGCAAUGGGGGCAACCCUGACGCAGCAACGCCGCGUGAGUGAGGAAGGUUUUCGGACCGUAAAGCUCUGUCGAGCGGGAAGAAAUGUAUCAUGGCUAAUAUCCAUGGUACUUGACGGUACCGCUAAAGGAAGCACCGGCUAACUCCGUGCCAGCAGCCGCGGUAAUACGGGGGGUGCAAGCGUUGUUCGGAAUUAUUGGGCGUAAAGAGCGUGUAGGCGGCUGGAUAAGUCAGAUGUGAAAUCCCUGGGCUUAACUCAGGAAGUGCAUUUGAAACUAUCCAGCUUGAGGAAGGGAGAGGAAAGUGGAAUUCCUGGUGUAGAGGUGAAAUUCGUAGAUAUCAGGAGGAACACCGGUGGCGAAGGUGACUUUCUGGCCCUAUACUGACGCUGAGACGCGAGAGCGUGGGUAGCAAACA
RNAcentral lists this ribosomal RNA (428 nucleotides) under uncultured prokaryote. RNAcentral's name for it is "bacterial SSU rRNA". It matches the Rfam family "Bacterial small subunit ribosomal RNA", at positions 355 to 774 of the family's 1533-position model. The record is from RNAcentral.